UACGUAGGGGGCAAGCGUUGUCCGGAAUCAUUGGGCGUAAAGAGUGUGUAGGCGGCCCGAUAAGUCCGCUGUGAAAGUCCAGGGCUCAACCCUGGGAUGCCGGUGGAUACUGUCGGGCUCGAGUCCGGAAGAGGAGUGUGGAAUUCCUGGUGUAGCGGUGAAAUGCGCAGAUAUCAGGAGGAACACCAAUGGCGAAGGCAGCACUCUGGGACGUGACUGACGCUGAGACGCGAAAGCGUGGGGAGCAAACAGG
This 253-nucleotide ribosomal RNA is filed under the name uncultured bacterium. RNAcentral's name for it is "partial 16S ribosomal RNA". It matches the Rfam family "Bacterial small subunit ribosomal RNA", at positions 524 to 776 of the family's 1533-position model. The record is from RNAcentral.